This 400-nucleotide ribosomal RNA is filed under the name uncultured bacterium. RNAcentral's name for it is "bacterial SSU rRNA". It matches the Rfam family "Bacterial small subunit ribosomal RNA", at positions 355 to 774 of the family's 1533-position model. The record is from RNAcentral.
UUAGGAAUCUUCCCCAAUGGGCGAAAGCCUGAGGGAGCGAUACCGCUUGAACGACGAAGCCCUUCGGGGUGUAAAGUUCUGAACUGGGGACGAUAAUGACGGUACCCAGGUAAUAGCACCGGCUAACUCCGUGCCAGCAGCCGCGGUAAUACGGAGGGUGCGAGCGUUACCCGGAUUUACUGGGUGUAAAGGGCGUGUAGGCGGUUUCUCAAGUCCGAUGCUAAAGACUGAGGCUCAACCUCAGGAGUGCGUUGGAUACUGUGAGACUAGACGGUCGGAGAGGGUAGCGGAAUUCUCGGAGUAGCGGUGAAAUGCGCAGAUACCGAGAGGAACGCCAAUAGCGAAAGCAGCUACCUGGACGAUUUGUGACGCUGAGGCGCGAAAGCGUGGGGAGCAAACA